This 354-nucleotide RNase P RNA is filed under the name Chloroflexota bacterium. RNAcentral describes it as "RNase P RNA component class A". It matches the Rfam family "Bacterial RNase P class A". Rfam says of the family: Ribonuclease P (RNase P) is a ubiquitous endoribonuclease, found in archaea, bacteria and eukarya as well as chloroplasts and mitochondria. Its best characterised activity is the generation of mature 5'-ends of tRNAs by cleaving the 5'-leader elements of precursor-tRNAs. Cellular RNase Ps are ribonucleoproteins. RNAcentral also lists the same sequence under 1 other name. The record is from RNAcentral. Lineage: Bacteria; Bacillati; Chloroflexota.
UGAGGGGGAUGGACGGCCGCUGGGUGCAUUAUGCGCCGAGAGGAAAGUCCGAGCUCCACUCGGAAGGAUGCCCGUUAACGGCGGGGCGGGGUGACCCGACGGAAAGUGCCACAGAAACAAACCGCUGCAUAGCAGUAAGGGUGAAAAGGUGAGGUAAGAGCUCACCGCAUGGUUGGUAACAAUCAUGGUCCAGGCAAACCCCAUCCGGAGCAAGGCCUAAUAGGGGUCAUAAGGGUUCCGAACCUGACCCGGGUUGGCCGCUCGACCUUAUUGGUAACGGUAAGGCUAGAUAGAUGGUCGUCAAUUAUCCCAAGAGGAUGAUUACAGAACUCGGCUUACAGUUCCCCUCAACCG